Molecule: non-coding RNA, 231 nt
Filed under: Faecalimonas nexilis
Lineage: Bacteria; Bacillati; Bacillota; Clostridia; Lachnospirales; Lachnospiraceae
Description: Clostridium nexile T-box sequence
Rfam family: T-box leader
About the family: Uncharged tRNA acts as the effector for transcription antitermination of genes in the T-box leader family. T-boxes are found upstream of many aminoacyl-tRNA synthetase genes and some amino acid biosynthetic genes usually in Gram-positive bacteria. The anticodon of a specific tRNA base pairs to a specifier sequence within the T-box motif, and the NCCA acceptor tail of the tRNA base pairs to a conserved bulge in the T-box antiterminator hairpin.
Source: RNAcentral
AAAAAGGCAUGGAACGUGUUUAGUAGAGCACUAUUUUCUAACAGAGAGAGGAAAUCAUCGGCUGGAAGUUUCCUUUAGUUCAAAUGGGAAUCGAAUUUCGCACGGGAGCUGUAUCUUUGAACGAUAUAAAGAAAAGUAGAAGAUAACGUAUCUGCACGUUACGCAGUCCGAGUGCUCAUGGAGAUUUCUGUGAGAAGUAGGGUGGUACCGCGAUAUAGCCUCGUCCCUUUU